RNAcentral lists this ribosomal RNA (306 nucleotides) under Triticum aestivum (bread wheat). RNAcentral describes it as "partial small subunit ribosomal RNA". The record is from RNAcentral. Lineage: Eukaryota; Viridiplantae; Streptophyta; Magnoliopsida; Poales; Poaceae.
AUGGGACUUGAGGCAAGUCUGGCAGAAGCUCUGUCCACUAUCGAAGCUAUUGAGGCUAAUAUUGACAUGAUGGGAAAAAAGAACCUAGACGAAGCUAUCAUGUGGUACAAUAAAUUUCUCGGUUUUGAAGUUUUUGCAGGAGAAGUAAUUCAGUGUAUUCCAUUGCUUGAAGACACUGAAGAAUUGUUGAAGGACUGCACUAAUGAUCUCUUCAAGUUUGUUAGAAACACGAGAGCAAGAUUCCAGCUGCUACCGUUAAAGGGGUUCAUCCCACAAGUUCAUGUUGCCCAGACACAUCAUCCAUAA